GACGAACGCUGGCGGCGUGCCUAAUACAUGCAAGUAGAACGCUGAAGAGAGGAGCUUGCUCUUCUUGGAUGAGUUGCGAACGGGUGAGUAACGCGUAGGUAACCUGCCUUGUAGCGGGGGAUAACUAUUGGAAACGAUAGCUAAUACCGCAUAACAAUGGAUGACACAUGUCAUUUACUUGAAAGGGGCAAUUGCUCCACUACAAGAUGGACCUGCGUUGUAUUAGCUAGUAGGUGAGGUAAUGGCUCACCUAGGCGACGAUACAUAGCCGACCUGAGAGGGUGAUCGGCCACACUGGGACUGAGACACGGCCCAGACUCCUACGGGAGGCAGCAGUAGGGAAUCUUCGGCAAUGGGGGCAACCCUGACCGAGCAACGCCGCGUGAGUGAAGAAGGUUUUCGGAUCGUAAAGCUCUGUUGUAAGUCAAGAACGGGUGUGAGAGUGGAAAGUUCACACUGUGACGGUAGCUUACCAGAAAGGGACGGCUAACUACGUG
This 497-nucleotide ribosomal RNA is filed under the name uncultured bacterium. RNAcentral describes it as "partial 16S ribosomal RNA". It matches the Rfam family "Bacterial small subunit ribosomal RNA", at positions 28 to 507 of the family's 1533-position model. The record is from RNAcentral.